This 498-nucleotide ribosomal RNA is filed under the name uncultured bacterium. RNAcentral describes it as "partial 16S ribosomal RNA". It matches the Rfam family "Bacterial small subunit ribosomal RNA", at positions 30 to 523 of the family's 1533-position model. The record is from RNAcentral.
AUUGAACGCUGGCGGCAUGCUUUACACAUGCAAGUCGAACGGUAACAGGCCGCAAGGUGCUGACGAGUGGCGAACGGGUGAGUAAUGCAUCGGAACGUGCCCAGUCGUGGGGGAUAACGCAGCGAAAGCUGUGCUAAUACCGCAUACGAUCUAUGGAUGAAAGCGGGGGACCGUAAGGCCUCGCGCGAUUGGAGCGGCCGAUGUCAGAUUAGGUAGUUGGUGGGGUAAAGGCCUACCAAGCCGACGAUCUGUAGCUGGUCUGAGAGGACGACCAGCCACACUGGGACUGAGACACGGCCCAGACUCCUACGGGAGGCAGCAGUGGGGAAUUUUGGACAAUGGGCGCAAGCCUGAUCCAGCAAUGCCGCGUGCAGGAAGAAGGCCUUCGGGUUGUAAACUGCUUUUGUACGGAACGAAACGGCCUGGGUUAAUACCCUGGGCUAAUGACGGUACCGUAAGAAUAAGCACCGGCUAACUACGUGCCAGCAGCCGCCGUAA